Molecule: ribosomal RNA, 253 nt
Filed under: uncultured bacterium
Lineage: Bacteria
Description: partial 16S ribosomal RNA
Rfam family: Bacterial small subunit ribosomal RNA
Source: RNAcentral
UACGUAGGGUGCGAGCGUUAAUCGGAAUUACUGGGCGUAAAGCGUGCGCAGGCGGCGCGUUAAGACAGGUGUGAAAGCCCCGAGCUUAACUUGGGAAUUGCGCUUGUGACUGGCGUGCUGGAGUGUGGCAGAGGGAGGUGGAAUUCCACGUGUAGCAGUGAAAUGCGUAGAGAUGUGGAGGAACACCGAUGGCGAAGGCAGCCUCCUGGGCCAGCACUGACGCUCAUGCACGAAAGCGUGGGGAGCAAACAGU